CAGAGAGAGAGAGAGAGAGAGAGAGGAACCAGAGAAAAACAUAUUUUAAAGGCAUAGCCAACCUGCGUAAUAUUCGCAGUGGAAAAUACCACCACCAAUUUCUUCACCACGGCACCUCCCACCACCAACGAAUCAAAUCUAAUCUCUCUCUGUUGAUAACUGCGGCAUCUCCAAUAAAACAGGACUCUCUCUCACUGCAGCAUCUCCAAUAAACCAGGACUCUCUCUCCUUCACUUUUAAAAGGCAAACGAAGAGCAACAAUAAGCAGCAAUUCAAUUUGCAUUCCUCUCUUCCCUUUCCCAGGGACGCGUUUGGGGGACGGAGGCCUUUUGACUCCAAAA
This 341-nucleotide unclassified non-coding RNA is filed under the name Hevea brasiliensis (rubber tree). The record is from RNAcentral. Lineage: Eukaryota; Viridiplantae; Streptophyta; Magnoliopsida; Malpighiales; Euphorbiaceae.